CUACGGGGCGCACCAGUGGGGAAUAUUGGGCAAUGGGCGCAAGCCUGACCCAGCAACGCCGCGUGAGGGAAGAAUGUCUUCGGAUUGUAAACCUCUGUCCUUGGGGACGAAAAAAAUGACGGUACCCAAGGAGGAAGCUCCGGCUAACUACGUGCCAGCAGCCGCGGUAAUAUGUAGGGAGCAAGCGUUGUCCGGAAUUAUUGGGCGUAAAGGGUGCGUAGGCGGCGCUGUAAGUCAGAUGUGAAAUCCCCGGGUUUAACUCGGGAGUUGCAUUUGAAACUACAGUGCUUGAGUAAAGAAGGGGUAAGUGGAAUUCCUAGUGUAGCGGUGGAAUGCGUAGAUAUUAGGAGGAACACCAGUGGCGAAGGCGACUUACUGGUCUUUUACUGACGCUGAGGCACGAAAGCGUGGGGAGCAAACAGGAUUAGAUACCCGCGUAGUC
Molecule: ribosomal RNA, 442 nt
Filed under: uncultured bacterium
Lineage: Bacteria
Description: partial 16S ribosomal RNA
Rfam family: Bacterial small subunit ribosomal RNA
Source: RNAcentral